GAGACCCAUGCCAUUAGUUGCUAGUUAUUAGAUUCUAAUGACGCACUCUAAUGGGACUGCCAGCGCUAAGCUGGAGGAAGGAAUGGGCGACGGUAGGUCUGUAUGCCCCGAAUUCUUUGGGCUACACGCGGCAUACAAUGGUAUGGACAGCGGGACGCGACACCGAAAGGUGAAGCUAAUCCCUUAAACCAUAUCUUAGUUCGGAUCGUGGGCUGUAACUCGCCCUCGUGAAGCUGGAAUCCCCAGUAAUCGCGUUUCAAUAAAGCGCGGUGAAUAC
This 277-nucleotide ribosomal RNA is filed under the name uncultured archaeon. Its description in RNAcentral is "partial 16S rRNA". It matches the Rfam family "Archaeal small subunit ribosomal RNA", at positions 1047 to 1325 of the family's 1478-position model. The record is from RNAcentral.